UGUCCUUAGAAACCAAGUGUGGGUGUGGCCUGGAAUGACAAUAUGGCGACCCAUCCUUGGUUUCUGAGGCCG
Molecule: non-coding RNA, 72 nt
Organism: Salmo salar (Atlantic salmon)
Lineage: Eukaryota; Metazoa; Chordata; Actinopteri; Salmoniformes; Salmonidae
Source: Rfam